CCGCCGGCGACCGGCGCACGGGUGAGUAACACGUAUGCAACCUGGCCGUGACAGAUGGAUAACCGGGAGAAAUCCCGCCUAAUACAACAUAAGUGCCGGGAGGGGACAUCCCCUGCCGGCCAAAGGGGCGACCCCGGUCACGGAUGGGCAUGCGGCGCAUUAGGUAGUUGGUGGGGCAACGGCCCACCAAGCCGACGAUGCGUAGGGGUUCUGAGAGGAAGGUCCCCCACAUUGGAACUGAGACACGGUCCAAACUCCUACGGAAGGCAGCAG
RNAcentral lists this ribosomal RNA (273 nucleotides) under uncultured bacterium. RNAcentral's name for it is "partial 16S ribosomal RNA". It matches the Rfam family "Bacterial small subunit ribosomal RNA", at positions 85 to 354 of the family's 1533-position model. The record is from RNAcentral.